Molecule: ribosomal RNA, 515 nt
Filed under: uncultured bacterium
Lineage: Bacteria
Description: partial 16S ribosomal RNA
Rfam family: Bacterial small subunit ribosomal RNA
Source: RNAcentral
GAUGAACGCUGGCGGCGUGCCUAAUACAUGCAAGUCGAGCGAAUGGAUUAAGAGCUUGCUCUUAUGAAGUUAGCGGCGGACGGGUGAGUAACACGUGGGUAACCUGCCCAUAAGACUGGGAUAACUCCGGGAAACCGGGGCUAAUACCGGAUAAUAUUUUGAACGGCAUGGUUCAAAAUGGAAAGUCGGCUUCGGCUGUCACUUAUGGCUGGACCCGCGUCGCAUUAGCUAGUUGGUGAGGUAUCGGCUGACCAAGGCGACGAUGCGUAACCGACCUGAGAGGGUGAUCGGCCACACUGGGACUGGGACACGGCCCAGACUCCUACGGGAGGCAGCAGUAGGGAAUCUUCCGCAAUGGACGAAAGUCUGACGGAGCAACGCCGCGUGAGUGAUGAAGGCUUUCGGGUCGUAAAACUCUGUUGUUAGGGAAGAACAAGUGCUAGUUGAAUAAGCUGGCACCUUGACGGUACCUAACCAGAAAGCCACGGCUAACUACGUGCCAGCCGCCGCCGUAA